This 87-nucleotide transfer RNA is filed under the name Candidatus Yanofskybacteria bacterium RIFOXYA1_FULL_44_17. Its description in RNAcentral is "tRNA-Ser". It matches the Rfam family "tRNA". Rfam says of the family: Transfer RNA (tRNA) molecules are approximately 80 nucleotides in length. RNAcentral also lists the same sequence under 7 other names. The record is from RNAcentral. Lineage: Bacteria; Candidatus Yanofskyibacteriota.
GGAGAGGUGGCAGAGUGGUCUAACGCACCGCACUUGAAAUGCGGCGUACCCGUAAGGGUACCGUGAGUUCGAAUCUCACCCUCUCCG